GACGAACGCUGGCGGCGUGCUUAACACAUGCAAGUCGAACGAAGAGCGAUGGAAGCUUGCUUCUAUCAAUCUUAGUGGCGAACGGGUGAGUAACGCGUAAUCAACCUGCCCUUCAGAGGGGGACAACAGUUGGAAACGACUGCUAAUACCGCAUACGAUCUAAACUCGGCAUCGAGGAUAGAUGAAAGGUGGCCUCUACAUGUAAGCUAUCACUGAAGGAGGGGGUUGCGUCUGAUUAGCUAGUUGGAGGGGUAACGGCCCACCAAGGCGAUGAUCAGUAGCCGGUCUGAGAGGAUGAACGGCCACAUUGGGACUGAGACACGGCCCAGACUCCUACGGGAGGCAGCAGUGGGGAAUCUUCCGCAAUGGACGAAAGUCUGACGGAGCAACGCCGCGUGAGUGAUGACGGCCUUCGGGUUGUAAAGCUCUGUUAAUCGGGACGAAAGGCCUUCUUGCGAAUAGUGAGAAGGAUUGACGGUACCGGAAGAGAAAGCCACGGCUAACUACGUG
RNAcentral lists this ribosomal RNA (510 nucleotides) under uncultured bacterium. RNAcentral's name for it is "partial 16S ribosomal RNA". It matches the Rfam family "Bacterial small subunit ribosomal RNA", at positions 28 to 507 of the family's 1533-position model. The record is from RNAcentral.